Molecule: ribosomal RNA, 508 nt
Filed under: Acharax gadirae
Lineage: Eukaryota; Metazoa; Mollusca; Bivalvia; Solemyida; Solemyidae
Description: partial 16S ribosomal RNA
Rfam family: Bacterial large subunit ribosomal RNA
Source: RNAcentral
CGCUUUUUGUAAAAUACAUAUGAAAAGUAGAGCCUGCCCAGUGAAAUAUUUUAAACGGCCGCAGUACCCUGACUGUGCGAAGGUAGCAUAAUCGUUUGCCUCUUAAUUAGAGGCUAGUAUGAACGGUUUGACGAAGGCUUAACUGUCUCAUAAUGAUUUAUUAAAAAUUAACUUUUAGGUGCAGAGGCCUAAAUAACUUUGGAGGACAAGAAGACCCUAUUGAGCUUUAGUGAACUUAAUAAACUUAAAAAUUAUUAAUAAAUUUUAUUUAUUAAAACACUUUAGUUGGGGCGACUAAGGAACAAAAAAAACUUCCUAUUACUAAACAUAUAUAUAUAAAGACCCAGGUAAUCCUGAUAAUAAGAAAAAGUUACCAUAGGGAUAACAGCGUAAUCUCUUUUGAGAGCACAUAUCGAAAAAGGGGGUUGCGACCUCGAUGUUGGAUUAAGAUAUCCUGAAGGAGCAGAAGUUGUCAAAGGUUGGUCUGUUCGACCAUUAAAAUCUUACA